GUGCCAGCAGCCGCGGUAAUACGGAGGGUCCGAGCGUUAUCCGGAAUCAUUGGGUUUAAAGGGUCCGCAGGCGGUCAAUUAAGUCAGAGGUGAAAUCCCAUAGCUUAACUAUGGAACUGCCUUUGAUACUGGUUGACUUGAGUCAUAUGGAAGUAGAUAGAAUGUGUAGUGUAGCGGUGAAAUGCAUAGAUAUUACACAGAAUACCGAUUGCGAAGGCAGUCUACUACGUAUGUACUGACGCUGAGGGACGAAAGCGUGGGGAGCGAACAGGAUUAGAUACCCUGGUAGUCCACGCCGUAAACGAUGGAUACUAGUUGUUGGGCAUUAGCUCAGUGACUAAGCGAAAGUGAUAAGUAUCCCACCUGGGGAGUACGGUCGCAAGACUGAAACUCAAAGGAAUUGACGGGGGCCCGCACAAGCGGUGGAGCAUGUGGUUUAAUUCGAUGAUACGCGAGGAACCUUACCAGGGCUUAAAUGUAGUCUGACAGCUUUAGAGAUAGAGUUUUCUUCGGACAGAUUACAAGGUGCUGCAUGGUUGUCGUCAGCUCGUGCCGUGAGGUGUCAGGUUAAGUCCUAUAACGAGCGCAACCCCUGUCAUUAGUUGCCAGCAUGUAAAGAUGGGGACUCUAAUGAGACUGCCGGUGCAAACCGCGAGGAAGGUGGGGAUGACGUCAAAUCAUCACGGCCCUUACGUCCUGGGCCACACACGUGCUACAAUGGUAUGGACAA
Molecule: ribosomal RNA, 730 nt
Filed under: uncultured bacterium
Lineage: Bacteria
Description: SSU rRNA
Rfam family: Bacterial small subunit ribosomal RNA
Source: RNAcentral